This 468-nucleotide ribosomal RNA is filed under the name uncultured bacterium. RNAcentral describes it as "partial 16S ribosomal RNA". It matches the Rfam family "Bacterial small subunit ribosomal RNA", at positions 28 to 507 of the family's 1533-position model. The record is from RNAcentral.
GACGAACGCUGGCGGCGCGCCUAACACAUGCAAGUCGAACGGAGUCACGAGGAGCUUGCUUUUCUUGACUUAGUGGCGAACGGGUGAGUAACGCGUGAGUAACCUGCCCUGGAGUGGGGGACAACAGUUGGAAACGACUGCUAAUACCGCAUAAGCCCACGGAUCCGCAUGGAUCUGCGGGAAAAGGAUUUAUUCGCUUCAGGAUGGACUCGCGUCCAAUUAGCUAGUUGGUGAGGUAACGGCCCACCAAGGCGACGAUUGGUAGCCGGACUGAGAGGUUGAACGGCCACAUUGGGAAUGAGACACGGCCCAGACUCCUACGGGAGGCAGCAGUGGGGGAUAUUGCACAAUGGGGGAAACCCUGAUGCAGCGACGCCGCGUGGAGGAAGAAGGUUUUAGGAUUGUAAACUCCUGUCGUUAGGGACGAUAAUGACGGUACCUAACAAGAAAGCACCGGCUAACUACGUG